UGGUGGGUAGUUUGACUGGGGCGGUCUCCUCCUAAAGAGUAACGGAGGAGCACGAAGGUUGGCUAAUCCUGGUCGGACAUCAGGAGGUUAGUGCAAUGGCAUAAGCCAGCUUGACUGCGAGCGUGACGGCGCGAGCAGGUGCGAAAGCAGGUCAUAGUGAUCCGGUGGUUCUGAAUGGAAGGGCCAUCGCUCAACGGAUAAAAGGUACUCCGGGGAUAACAGGCUGAUACCGCCCAAGAGUUCAUAUCGACGGCGGUGUUUGGCACCUCGAUGUCGGCUCAUCACAUCCUGGGGCUGAAGUAGGUCCCAAGGGUAUGGCUGUUCGCCAUUUAAAGUGGUACGCGAGCUGGGUUUAGAACGUCGUGAGACAGUUCGGUCCCUAUCUGCCGUGGGCGCUGGAGAACUGAGGGGGGCUGCUCCUAGUACGAGAGGACCGGAGUGGACGCAUCACUGGUGUUCGGGUUGUCAUGCCAAUGGCACUGCCCGGUAGCUACAUGCGGAAGAGA
Molecule: ribosomal RNA, 506 nt
Filed under: Salmonella enterica subsp. enterica serovar Stanley
Lineage: Bacteria; Pseudomonadati; Pseudomonadota; Gammaproteobacteria; Enterobacterales; Enterobacteriaceae
Description: partial 23S ribosomal RNA
Rfam family: Bacterial large subunit ribosomal RNA
Source: RNAcentral